Molecule: unclassified non-coding RNA, 198 nt
Organism: Cavia porcellus (domestic guinea pig)
Lineage: Eukaryota; Metazoa; Chordata; Mammalia; Rodentia; Caviidae
Source: Ensembl
GGUGGGGGCUGGGUAAAAGGAGGGAGGGGAGAACUCCCGCGCCCCAAGAGAGAAAGCAAACAGCUAGCGGUGGAGGCGCUGCCCACAGCUCAGGCUUCCCAACAGGUUAGCUAGACUGGGAUCCACCUGGUAUUUCGCAGGAGGGGGGGCAGAGGAGGAGAGAGCCUUCCUAGGAGACAGAGGGAGGGAGGGAGGGAA